Molecule: ribosomal RNA, 460 nt
Filed under: uncultured Treponema sp.
Lineage: Bacteria; Pseudomonadati; Spirochaetota; Spirochaetia; Treponematales; Treponemataceae
Description: bacterial SSU rRNA
Rfam family: Bacterial small subunit ribosomal RNA
Source: RNAcentral
ACGGAAGGCAGCAGCUAAGAAUAUUCCGCAAUGGACGAGAGUCUGACGGAGCGACGUCGCGUGGAUGAUGAAGGCCGGAAGGUUGUAAAAUCCUUUUAUAACUGAGGAAUAAGUAAGGUGAGAGAAACGCCUUAUGGUGACUGUAGGUUAUGAAUAAGCAACGGCUAAUUACGUGCCAGCAGCCGCGGUAACACGUAAGUUGCGAGCGUUGUUCGGAAUUAUUGGGCGUAAAGGGCAUGUAGGCGGUUUUGCAAGCUUGGUGUGAAAUCCCGGAGCUUAACUCCGGAAUUGCGUUGAGAACUGCAUAACUAGAGUCACUGAGGGGCAAUCAGAAUUCCAGGUGUAGGGGUGAAAUCUGUAGAUAUCUGGAAGAAUACCAAUGGCGAAGGCAGGUUACCAGCAGAUGACUGACGCUGAGGUGCGAAGGUGCGGGGAGCAAACAGGAUUAGAUACCCUGGUA